This 1319-nucleotide ribosomal RNA is filed under the name Pieris napi. RNAcentral describes it as "16S ribosomal RNA". The stretch from base 1071 to 1229 matches the Rfam family "Eukaryotic large subunit ribosomal RNA", at positions 2825 to 2984 of the family's 3401-position model. The record is from RNAcentral. Lineage: Eukaryota; Metazoa; Arthropoda; Insecta; Lepidoptera; Pieridae.
GAGGGGUUAAUUUAAUAAAUAAUAAAUAUGAAAAAAAAUUUUAAUAUAAUAUAUUUAAUGGGGGUUAAAGUAUUUUUAUAGAAAAAAUUUUAAAAUUUAUAGUGAAAUAGUAUUGUGAAAGAAAAAUUGAAAAUAUUGAAAUAAAAAUUUAUUUAAAAGUAAAUUUUAUUUAUUGUAUCUUGUGUAUCAGAGUUUUUUUAAAAAAAAAAUUGGGUAAAUUUAUUUCGAAAUUUAAAGAGUUAAUUAAUUAAAAAAGUUAAUAUUGCAUAAUUAUUUUUAAUAAUUAAUUGGAAAUGAAAAGUUAAUCGUUUUUAAUGAUAUCUAAUUUUUUUAGAAAAAAGUUUAAUUUUAAAUAAAUUUUAAAAAUAAUUAAUUAAUUAAUUAUUUUUAAAAUUUAAUUUUAUAUUUUAGGGGAUAAGCUUUAAAUUAGAUUUUUAUAAUAAAAGUAAAAAAAAUUGAAAUUUUUAAAAUUUAUAUUUUUUAUAAAUUAUAGUUUAUUAUCAAUAAUUUCAUUUAAUUAAAAUUUUAUUUUAAUUUAAAUUUUUAUAAAAAAAUAUUUUUUAAUUUAAUAAAAAUAGGUAUAAUGAUAAAAUUAGUAUAUAAUUUAUAAAUAAAAUAAAAAUUAUUUAAAUUAAUAAAAAGGAAUUCGGCAAAAAUUUAUAUUCACUUGUUUAUCAAAAACAUGUCUUUUUGAAAAUAAUUUAAAGUCUAAUCUGCCCACUGAAUUAUUUUAAAGGGCUGCAGUAUAUUGACUGUACAAAGGUAGCAUAAUCAUUAGUCUUUUAAUUGAAGACUUGUAUGAAUGAUUUGAUGAAAUAUAAACUGUCUCUUUAUUAAAAAUAGAAUUUAAUUUUUUAGUUAAAAAGCUAAAAUUUAUUUAAAAGACGAGAAGACCCUAUAGAGUUUUAUAUUUAAAAUUAUAUUAAUUUUGUAUAAAAUUUUUAUUUAAUAUUUUUUUAAUUAUUUUAUUGGGGUGAUAGAAAAAUUUAAUAAACUUUUUUUAAAAAUUUUACAUUAAUAUAUGAAAUUUUGAUCCAUAAUUUAUGAUUAAAAGAUUAAAUUACCUUAGGGAUAACAGCGUAAUUUUUUUUUUUAGUUCUUAUAAGAAAAAAAGUUUGCGACCUCGAUGUUGGAUUAAGAUAAAAUUUAGAUGCAAAAGUUUAAAAUUUUGAUCUGUUCGAUCAUUAAAAUCUUACAUGAUCUGAGUUCAAACCGGUGUGAGCCAGGUUGGUUUCUAUCUUUAUAAAAAUUUAAUAAUUUAGUACGAAAGGAUCAAUUAUUGAAAAUAAUUUUUUAAUAAGGAAUAUUAUUAAUUUUUU